GUUAUGGUUCCCGUCGAUAGUGGUGUUUUUUUUAGGUGAGUUUUUACUUUUAAGCCCACCUCAUUUUACUUUCAAAUCCAUAUAUAAUCUGUUACCAUCGUACAGUUGUGUAUCACGUUACGUACAAAUCUAUCAAUUCUCUAAUAUAAAUAUCCCCGUACUUUAAAGUAACUUCCUUUUUAUUAACUUGGGUUAAAUUUAUUGGAUAUAUUUAUGAAGAUUUUUUUCCGAAGGUUUGUUUGUGAUUCUUAACGAGAUAAGAAGUCCAGCGUUCAUAAGACUUUAUGUUAACUUAGUCUUGAGAUUUUUAAAAUCAUUACAACUUCUGUUUUACAACUAGACUUUUACACGGUUAAACCAAUAAGUCUUUAACACAAGGAUGUUAUCGUCGUAUGUAUCUACUUAUCGUGCUAUCGUAGGAAUAAGUCCAAUGUAAUAAGUCUUUAGAGAGUGGUGGUUAAUGAGCGAAGUCUAACAACAGUUCGGGUACCUACGGCGACUACGAACUUUGUUUGUCUAUAUCAUCGGUACAGACGUUCUACCGUACAACUUGAUUUUACGCCUAUUUCGUUUUUUUCUAAUACUAUACAACUCACUUGAGUUUUAUUUAUUAUUAUUUCGGUUCCGUGUAUUUUUAUCUACCAACAUAGUGUUUCAUACUGGGUUCUACUCCGUUAUCUUUUUAAUUGCAGGUCCGUUAUAUUUGGGGCCCUUCUCUUUGAAUCGAAUGGAUUUUCUUUUCAAUUCGUGUACUUAAAUGGUUCUACUUUAAACCUCGAUACUGGUAAUCGUUUUAGACAUAUGUAAUCUUUAAAGUGUGUAAGUACAACCGUGUUCGAUGCUAUCGUUAUUAAAUAUCCGUGACCUCGUACGACUAUUUUUAAUUUUCAUCAUGCCAUCUUGUUUCCAUUCCUGCAUUCCACUUAUUAAAAAUCUUCUUUACCAAGCCACGUUUCCAGUAUAAUCAGGUAACUCAUUGACGUAAUUGUUGGAGGUCUAAGAUAGUCAGUACCUGAUUGUUGUUAUUAUUGUGGGUGACCCGUCACCGAUCUAUUCAUUCUUCUCCGUUUGGACUUUCUCACAGCGCCUCGGUGCCCCUACAGGAACCUUCUUGACCAACAACCCUCGUAGGUAGGUUAGUGUUUGAAGGAUAAUUAACUAUUUCGAAAGUGGAGACAUGCAUCCGGUAUAAGUGAACGUCACCAUUUUUUGUCUACUUUGUUCAUUCGUGUAAGAUUAGAUGUCAUGAGUGUAAUGUCAGGUGACAAAUUUCGGGAGUUGAAACUGUCCUUUGUUGAUUAAGGUCAUUCGUGUAAAACUUAUAAAUUUUUCAAUAUUUACCUAUAUUUUCUUUGACGUUUAAUCCACUGUUUAUUCUUUUUACAAUGUACGGUAGCUGUGUAGAGUACGAGAUAUAACACAGUAAAGUAAUGGUUACAACCGAUGUCUUGUUCUUUUUUUGUCUCUUUAACUUUUACUAUAUACAAGUUUCCUCUACUCAUUAUGUCAGAUAUUAAGAUAUAGUACAGGUUAAAACAGUAUAUACGUACUUCGUAUUCAGAUUUGGGGUUGAAGUCAACGGGUUUUCAUUAGAUUUAAACUCAAAACAGUGCUGUUCUUAAUAUCAUGGAGAAUAUAGUCUAGUUUCUAUUUAUUCAAGAUAUGAGUGACCAUUUGACAACUUCUACGUAAUUACUUUUUGUUUUUAAUUAAACGUCCCAAUAUUAUGUCACUAUCUUAUUUCAAAAAAACUCGUCUUGACGUACUUAUGUGUGGUGUGGAGGAGAUUGAAGGUUCACUAAAGGUCCGAACGGGGGUUGAGUCGACUGUCGUAUACACUUAGAAACCCUUUUAUGGUAUGUAUUUGUGCUUUUUAUCAUGGUACUAACCGUUACGUUCGGCAUGUAUACUUAAACGAUCCGGUUAUUUGUUCAUACCUUUCAUUUACUAUAACGUUUGUUUAAAGUUGUAGCUAAGAGGUGCUUGUAGCAGAAGUGUUUGAAGUGUUUGGAUUUGUAAAUGUUGACUACACAGAUCUAAACAAAUGAUGUUUAUUAUAUGGGUAAGGAGCAAUAGAAAUAUAUUGAAAGAUUACGAAAGAAAGUCACAUUGUUGAUUGUGUAUCAUUUAAAUGAUGGGGGCAGGCGGAGGAACACGGAUGAGGAAGACGUAGAGGUCCGAUGGUUUAAACUACAUCUUUUAGUUGACGUUCCAAGGUUGAGGGAAGAAGUCUUAUAUAAACCGGUCUUAGAUAGAUCGAGGAUCCGUACCAAAGAAAACCAUCUAUAAACAGUGAAAAUUGGAAAAUGUAUACAUAUGUACCAUAUAGUAACCUGUAUCAUAUUGCUAUAAGUGGUUUCUAUGCACAAUUACAAGAAUUGAGAGAAGGAAGAUUGACCGUAUUACACUCUUUUACACGUACCAAGUCUUUUCACUAAGAAGGGACCCUUUGAAAUGAGGUAUAGAUUUUGGUUGUAGUCACAAGGUUAUGUAACUCAUAGUAAAGAAUGAAUAUAGUAAGACACUACAUUCGAAAAGUUAAUGAUAUACAGUCAUGUCAGAAGCAAGACUUGGUACAGGUCCUUUUUAGGUUGCGGAACCUAUCGAAUCUUGAACUCAUUUAGUAAGUGUGACAUACCCUACGGAACAUAGAGACCGACCUGCAAAUUAAUUAGACUCCAGGAAAGGGUUUUGUUUUUCCUCUAUCGUCGGUAGUGCCUCUCCUCCCUACAUCAAGUCGGUUUAUUCAAUCGUAAGAAAGAAUCAAGUCUAUUUGUACGAGAUCAGAACUUGCUGUAAUCGAUUCUUCUUCAUCAUAUCGUUUCUUUUGUACCCGUUAGUUGCAUCGAAGAAGUCCACUAUGCUUCAUCCAUAUCUAUUAUCGUUCUAGACACGGAGAUUAAAAAAAUCGUUCCAGCCUGCACACCUCAUUUAAUAGUUCGUGUAUUGACUUGUAUAUAUAUUGUUUUUAUCGUUCUGGCCUGCAAACCCCACUUAAUCGUUCGUGUUUUGACUUGUAUUUAUAAAAGAGGAAUAAUUACUACUAACGAAUGCCCUUUCCUAUACGGACAGGAGCUGCGAGUUUAACCACUCCCUAAGCAACGUCUUUCUCUAGGGGAACGCACAGCACCCUUCGCACAUCGCCUGCGUGCAACACCCCUCCGUCUCGGCUGCGCGUGGCCGUUGCCGGUCCCCGCCUCCCCCCGACGAGUGCGAGCGCCGCCGCCUCUUCUCCUGGCCGACCUCCGCCUGCCGCCGGCCGCCGUCUCCUACCCGCCCGCCGUCGCCUCCUACCUCGGGGCCGGCACCUCGCCGCCGCCUCCUCCCGCUCCUACCCGCCCACUGCCUUCCGCCGUCUCCGGGCCGGCACCUCCGCCGUUUGCCGCCGUCUCCGAACCGGCACCUACCCGCCCGCCGCCGGCUGCCGCUUCCGGGCUGGUACUAGACCAACAACCCUCCUCCUCCACGCCCCACACCCUUUCCAGUAGCACACCCCCAAGCACGCACGCACGCC
RNAcentral lists this ribosomal RNA (3514 nucleotides) under Triticum aestivum (bread wheat). RNAcentral describes it as "partial small subunit ribosomal RNA". The record is from RNAcentral. Lineage: Eukaryota; Viridiplantae; Streptophyta; Magnoliopsida; Poales; Poaceae.